AGACUGCCGGUGACAAACCGGAGGAAGGUGGGGAUGACGUCAAAUCAUCAUGCCCCUUAUGACCUGGGCUACACACGUGCUACAAUGGGAAGUACAACGAGUCGCGAAGUCGCGAGGCUAAGCUAAUCUCUUAAAGCUUCUCUCAGUUCGGAUUGCAGGCUGCAACUCGCCUGCAUGAAGCCGGAAUCGCUAGUAAUCGCGGAUCAGCACGCCGCGGUGAAUACGUUCCCGGGCCUUGUACACACCGCCCGUCACACCACGAGAGUUUGUAACACCCGAAGUCGGUGAGGUAACCUUUUUGGAGCCAGCCGCCUAAGGUGGGAUAGAUGAUUGGGGUGAAGUCGUAACAAGGUAGCCGUAUCGGAAGGUGCGGCUGGAUCACCUCCUUUCUAAGGAA
RNAcentral lists this ribosomal RNA (397 nucleotides) under Enterococcus faecium. RNAcentral's name for it is "bacterial SSU rRNA". It matches the Rfam family "Bacterial small subunit ribosomal RNA", at positions 1146 to 1533 of the family's 1533-position model. The record is from RNAcentral. Lineage: Bacteria; Bacillati; Bacillota; Bacilli; Lactobacillales; Enterococcaceae.